CACCACCUCUCUACCAUGGACCCCCGCAAAGUGAACGAGCUUCGGGCCAUUGUGAAAAUGUGUAAGCAGGAUCCGAGGGUUCUGCACACCGAGGAAAUGCGCUUCCUGAGAGAGUGGGUGGAGAGCAUGGGGUGUAAAGUACCACCUGCUACUCAGAAAGCUAAAUCAGAAGAAAAUACCAAGGAAGAAAAACCUGAUAGUAAGAAGGUGGAGGAAGACUUAAAGGCAGACGAACCAUCAAGUGAGGAAAGUGAUCCAGAAAUUGAUAAAGAAGGUGUGAUUGAACCAGACACUGAUUCUCCUCAAGAAAUGGGAGAUGAAAAUGCAGAGAUAACGGAGGAGAUGAUGGAUCAGGCAAAUGAUAAAAAAGUGGCUGCUAUUGAAGCCCUUAAUGAUGGUGAACUCCAGAAAGCCAUUGACUUACUCACAGAUGCCAUCAAGCUGAAUCCUCGCUUGGCCAUUUUGUAUGCCAAGAGGGCCAGUGUCUUCGUCAAAUUACAGAAGCCAAAUGCUGCUAUCCGAGACUGUGACAGAGCCAUUGAGAUAAAUCCUGAUUCAGCUCAGCCUUACAAGUGGUGAGGGAAAGCACACAGACUUCUAGGCCACUGGGAGGAAGCCGCCCAUGAUCUUGCCCUUGCCUGUAAAUUGGAUUAUGAUGAAGAUGCUAGUGCAAUGCUGAAAGAAGUUCAACCUAGGGCACAGAAAAUUGCAGAACAUCGGAGAAAGUAUGAGCGAAAACGUGAAGAGCGAGAUCAAAGAAAGAAUAGAAGGAGUUAAGAAGGCUCGAGAAGAGCAUGAGAGAGCCCAGAGGGAGGAAGAAGCCAGACGACAGUCAGGAGCUCAGUAUGGCUCUUUUCCAGGUGGCUUUCCUGGGGGAAUGCCUGGUAGUUUUCCCGGAGGAAUGCCUGGAAUGGGAGGGGCCAUGCCUAGAAUGGCUGGAAUGCCUGGACUCAAUGAAAUUCUUAGUGAUCCAGAGGUUCUUGCAGCCAUGCAGGAUCCAGAAGUUAUGGUGGCCUUCCAGGAUGUAGCUCAGAACCCAGCAAAUAUGUCAAAAUACCAGAACAACCCAAAGGUUAUGAAUCUCAUCAGUAAAUUGUCAGCCAAAUUUGGAGGUCAAGCGUAAUGCCCUUCUGAUAAAUAAAGCCCUUGCUGAAGGAAAAGCAACCUA
This is an RNA transcript of Macaca mulatta (Rhesus monkey), 1168 nucleotides long. It is a transcript of the gene named hsc70-interacting protein pseudogene, with no coding region annotated. The record is from RefSeq and is a predicted model, not a curated record. NCBI's taxonomy places the organism in Eukaryota, Metazoa, Chordata, Mammalia, Primates, Cercopithecidae.